This 102-nucleotide non-coding RNA is filed under the name Paraliobacillus sp. PM-2. RNAcentral describes it as "Purine riboswitch aptamer". It matches the Rfam family "Purine riboswitch aptamer". Rfam says of the family: Riboswitches are metabolite binding domains within certain messenger RNAs that serve as precision sensors for their corresponding targets. The record is from Rfam by way of RNAcentral. RNAcentral also lists the same sequence under 1 other name. Lineage: Bacteria; Bacillati; Bacillota; Bacilli; Caryophanales; Bacillaceae.
AAUAUAUAAUAAAACUACCUCGAUAUAAUCUCGAUAAUAUGGUUCGGGAGUUUCUAACGAGAUACCGUGAAUUUCUCGACUAUGGAGGCAGAUUUACUCUUU